RNAcentral lists this ribosomal RNA (440 nucleotides) under uncultured bacterium. RNAcentral's name for it is "partial 16S ribosomal RNA". It matches the Rfam family "Bacterial small subunit ribosomal RNA", at positions 338 to 795 of the family's 1533-position model. The record is from RNAcentral.
CCUACGGGUGGCAGCAGUGGGGGAUAUUGCACAAUGGGGGAAACCCUGAUGCAGCGACGCCGCGUGGGUGAAGAAGCGCCUCGGCGCGUAAAGCCCUGUCAGCAGGGAAGAAAAUGACGGUACCUGAAGAAGAAGCCCCGGCUAACUACGUGCCAGCAGCCGCGGUAAUACGUAGGGGGCAAGCGUUAUCCGGAUGUACUGGUUGUAAAGGGGGCGCAGACGGCGAGGCAAGCCAGGAGGGAAAGCCCGGGGCCCAACCCCGGGACUGCUCUGGGAACUGAGUGGCUAGAGUGCAGGAGGGGCAGGCGGAAUUCCUGGUGUAGCGGUGAAAUGCGUAGAUAUCAGGAGGAACACCGGUGGCGAAGGCGGCCUGCUGGACUGCAACUGACGUUGAGGCCCGAAAGCGUGGGGAGCAAACAGGAUUAGAUACCCUUGUAGUC